ACUCAAAUGAAUUGACGGGGGCCCGCACAAGCAGCGGAGCGUGUGGUUUAAUUCGAUGCAACACGAAGAACCUUACCAGGGCUUGACAUGCGCGUGGUAGGGAGGUGAAAGCCGAUCGACCCCUUCGGGGGAGCGCGCACAGGUGCUGCAUGGCUGUCGUCAGCUCGUGCCGUGAGGUGUUGGGUUAAGUCCCGCAACGAGCGCAACCCUCGUUGCCAGUUGUACUUUUCUGGCGAGACUGCCGGUAUCAAACCGGAGGAAGGUGGGGACGAGGUCAAGUCAGCAUGGCCUUUAUGUCCUGGGCUACUCACACGCUACAAUGGUCGGUACAAUGGGUUGCCAAGCCGCGAGGCGGAGCCAAUCCUCAAAGCCGACCCCAGUUCAGAUUGCAGUCUGCAACUCGACUGCAUGAAGUUGGAGUUGCUAGUAACCGCAGGUCAGCUAUACUGCGGUGAAUACGUUCCCGGGCCUUGUACACACCGCCCGU
RNAcentral lists this ribosomal RNA (487 nucleotides) under uncultured bacterium. RNAcentral's name for it is "bacterial SSU rRNA". It matches the Rfam family "Bacterial small subunit ribosomal RNA", at positions 899 to 1397 of the family's 1533-position model. The record is from RNAcentral.